This 497-nucleotide ribosomal RNA is filed under the name uncultured bacterium. RNAcentral describes it as "partial 16S ribosomal RNA". It matches the Rfam family "Bacterial small subunit ribosomal RNA", at positions 28 to 507 of the family's 1533-position model. The record is from RNAcentral.
GAUGAACGCUGGCGGCGUGCCUAAUACAUGCAAGUCGAGCGAACGGACGAGAAGCUUGCUUCGCUGAUGUUAGCGGCGGACGGGUGAGUAACACGUGGAUAACCUACCUAUAGGACUGGGAUAACUUGGGGAAACCGUAACUAAUACCGGAUAAUAUUUUGAACCGCAUGGGUCAAAAGUGAAAGACGGUCUUGCUGUCACUUAUAGAUGGAUCCGCGCUGCAUUAGCUAGUUGGUAAGGUAACGGCUUACCAAGGCAACGAUGAGUAGCCGACCUGAGAGGGCGACCGGCCACACUGGAACUGAGACACGGCCCAGACUCCUACGGGAGGCAGCAGUGGGGAAUCUUCCGCAAUGGGCGAAAGCCUGACGGAGCAACGCCGCGUGAGUGAUGAAGGUCUUCGGAUCGUAAAACUCUGUUAUCAGGGAAGAACAUAUGUGUACGUAACUGUGCACAGCUUGACGGUACCUGAUCAGAAAGCCACGGCUAACUACGUG